Non-coding RNA from Aedes aegypti (yellow fever mosquito), 117 nucleotides. The record is from Rfam. NCBI's taxonomy places the organism in Eukaryota, Metazoa, Arthropoda, Insecta, Diptera, Culicidae.
UGCCCAGCAACUCCUAUCCCUACCUCCUCGUGGUACUGGCCGGGGUACGAGUAACCUUGGGGAAGAUCGGGUAACCAACCCCCGGUGGGAACUUUGGUCGUAUGCUGACAGGAAAGG